UUUCCGUAGGUGAACCUGCGGAAGGAUCAUUAAUGAGUUGUCAUGGGGUUCGAUGCUGGCAGCCAAUUUUUGGAUGCAUGUGCUUCCCUAACAAUCAUCUUCCAAACACCUGUGCACAUUUUUGAGGGAGUCUUGAGUUGGUUGCCGCUCUUGGGUGAUUUUCUCACAUUCCCUUAAAUCAUUAUACGCUAUUAACAAUGUUGAACGUGCUCUGUGCCGCAAGGCUAUUAAUAUAAUACAACUUUUAACAACGGAUCUCUUGGCUCUCGUAUCGAUGAAGAACGCAGC
This 288-nucleotide unclassified non-coding RNA is filed under the name plant metagenome. RNAcentral describes it as "partial contains small subunit ribosomal RNA, internal transcribed spacer 1, and 5.8S ribosomal RNA". The stretch from base 240 to 288 matches the Rfam family "5.8S ribosomal RNA", at positions 1 to 49 of the family's 154-position model. The record is from RNAcentral.